RNAcentral lists this ribosomal RNA (482 nucleotides) under uncultured bacterium. RNAcentral's name for it is "partial 16S ribosomal RNA". It matches the Rfam family "Bacterial small subunit ribosomal RNA", at positions 30 to 507 of the family's 1533-position model. The record is from RNAcentral.
AUUGAACGCUGGCGGCAUGCCUUACACAUGCAAGUCGAACGGUAACGGGCCUUCGGGUGCCGACGAGUGGCGAACGGGUGAGUAAUACAUCGGAACGUGCCCGAUCGUGGGGGAUAACGAGGCGAAAGCUUUGCUAAUACCGCAUACGAUCUACGGAUGAAAGCAGGGGACCGCGAGGCCUUGCGCGGACGGAGCGGCCGAUGGCAGAUUAGGUAGUCGGUGGGAUAAAAGCUUACCAAGCCGACGAUCUGUAGCUGGUCUGAGAGGAUGAUCAGCCACACUGGGACUGAGACACGGCCCAGACUCCUACGGGAGGCAGCAGUGGGGAAUUUUGGACAAUGGGCGCAAGCCUGAUCCAGCCAUGCCGCGUGCAGGAUGAAGGCCUUCGGGUUGUAAACUGCUUUUGUACGGAACGAAAAGCCUUCUUUUAAUACAGGAGGGUCAUGACGGUACCGUAAGAAUAAGCACCGGCUAACUACGUG